AAACAAAAUAUGUAAUAUUAUUAAUGAACUUUCUUUUCUU
RNAcentral lists this small RNA (40 nucleotides) under Plasmodium falciparum 3D7. RNAcentral describes it as "Pfa-npcR6666". Lineage: Eukaryota; Apicomplexa; Aconoidasida; Haemosporida; Plasmodiidae. The record is from RNAcentral.